Transfer RNA from Camelus ferus (Wild Bactrian camel), 72 nucleotides. It matches the Rfam family "tRNA". Rfam says of the family: Transfer RNA (tRNA) molecules are approximately 80 nucleotides in length. NCBI's taxonomy places the organism in Eukaryota, Metazoa, Chordata, Mammalia, Artiodactyla, Camelidae. The record is from Rfam.
GAGGGUAUAGCUCAGUGGUAGAGUGAAUGCUUAGCAUGCACGAAGUCCUGGGUUCAUUCCCCAGAACCUCCA